This 76-nucleotide transfer RNA is filed under the name compost metagenome. Its description in RNAcentral is "tRNA-Arg". It matches the Rfam family "tRNA". Rfam says of the family: Transfer RNA (tRNA) molecules are approximately 80 nucleotides in length. Their secondary structure includes four short double-helical elements and three loops (D, anti-codon, and T loops). The record is from RNAcentral.
GCCCUCGUGGUGAAAAUCGACAUCACGGUCGUCUUCUAAACUUCAGUUCCCGGUGCGAAUCCGGGCGGGGGCACCA